CUAAAGCCAUUGAGGAAAAAAGUAGCCAGUUUCCCAUACAAACAGAGAAGGAUUGCCAAUAGGCUGAAAGCAAUCCCUUGUAAUGGUCUGGUGAAAGACAUUUCUUAGGUGCCAUAUCGAAGGUUAGUAGGUGUGGACGUAAACAGGCGUUAACUGUUUUUGAGUGGAAGCUUUGCUUCAAUCAGGGUGGCAACGCGGGAGAGUUCCCGUCCCUUUU
RNAcentral lists this non-coding RNA (217 nucleotides) under Halobacillus sp. Its description in RNAcentral is "T-box sequence". It matches the Rfam family "T-box leader". From Rfam's summary of the family: Uncharged tRNA acts as the effector for transcription antitermination of genes in the T-box leader family. Lineage: Bacteria; Bacillati; Bacillota; Bacilli; Caryophanales; Bacillaceae. The record is from RNAcentral.